CAGCUACUCCCUCCGUCCGAAAAUACUUGUCAUCAAAAUGAACACAAAAGGAUGUAUCUAGAACUAGGAUGUAUCUAGAACUAUAGUUCUAGAUACAUCCUUUUGUGUCCAUUUUGAUGACAAGUAUUUUCGGACGGAGGGAGUAUGAG
This is a non-coding RNA of Triticum aestivum (bread wheat), 149 nucleotides long. Lineage: Eukaryota; Viridiplantae; Streptophyta; Magnoliopsida; Poales; Poaceae. The record is from Rfam.